AGUGAACGCUGGCGGUAUGCCUAACACAUGCAAGUCGAACGGCAGCACAGUGAGAGCUUGCUCUUACGGGUGGCGAGUGGCGGACGGGUGAGGAAUACAUCGGAAUCUACUUUUUCGUGGGUGCUAACGUAGGGAAACGUACUCUAAUACCGCAUACGACCUACGGGUGAAAGCAGGGGAUCUUCGGACCUUGCGCGAUUGAAUGAGCCUAUGUCGGAUUAGCUAGUUGGCGGGGUAAAGGCCCACCAAGGCGACGAUCCGUAGCUGGUCUGAGAGGAUGAUAAGCCAAACUGGACAUGAGACACGGUCCAGAAUACUACGGGAGGCAGCAGUGGGGAAUAUUGGCCAAUGGGAGCAAGCCUGAUCCAGGCACACCGCGUGGGUGAAGAAGGCCGUCGGGUUGUAAAGGCCUUUUGUUGGGAAAGAAAAGCAGCAGGUUAAUACCCCGCUGUUCUGACGGUACCCAAAGAAUAAGCACCGGCUAACUUCGUGC
RNAcentral lists this ribosomal RNA (493 nucleotides) under uncultured bacterium. RNAcentral describes it as "partial 16S ribosomal RNA". It matches the Rfam family "Bacterial small subunit ribosomal RNA", at positions 29 to 508 of the family's 1533-position model. The record is from RNAcentral.